This 75-nucleotide transfer RNA is filed under the name Rikenellaceae bacterium. RNAcentral's name for it is "tRNA-Pro". It matches the Rfam family "tRNA". From Rfam's summary of the family: Transfer RNA (tRNA) molecules are approximately 80 nucleotides in length. Their secondary structure includes four short double-helical elements and three loops (D, anti-codon, and T loops). The record is from RNAcentral. Lineage: Bacteria; Pseudomonadati; Bacteroidota; Bacteroidia; Bacteroidales; Rikenellaceae.
CGGGGUGUAGCGCAGUCCGGUUAGCGCGCCUGCUUCGGGUGCAGGAGGUCGUGGGUUCGAAUCCCGCCACCCCGA